CGUGUACACGACAUUGGUGUUGAGUUGAGGAAACAACUCAACAUGCAAUGUCAUCAGGAACGGGUUAUGGUGUGGCGGAACAGAGAGGGAUUCCGGGUGUUCAAUCUUAUCUGACUCAAUCAUACCUUGAUGUCAACAACUUUGCUCUUCCUUUUCUCCAACAAAAUGGCAAAGAUACCGGAUAUUGAGAAGUGCUUAGAUGUCGUUGCUACAUUGCAAGCAAAGAGGGGGUACUGACACUUACUGCUGAUUUUGAGGUGUUCAGAAGAAAAAUAUUCACAAGCUUGUGUAGAGGAAACUGAUUCAGUGUGUUUAUGGCUGGGACCAAAUGUUAUGUCAGAAUAUUCAUUAGAAGAGGCUAUUGAUCUUCUACAGAACCAGGAUAAUGCUAAAGCCAGUUUAGAAGUUCUUGCCACUGAUAUACAGUUCUUGAGGGACCAGGUUACAUUAACCCCGGUUAUAAUUAGAAUGUUCAUCGACGGAAAAUUAUACAAGCUGGUGCCAUAACAGCUCAAAAACUAGCAAACAAAAAUUCAUACCUGCUUUUUUAUACAUGUUGAUUAAUAUACUGUUAUCUAUAACGCUUGGAAAAACAUCAUAUCCAGGUCCAUAGGCAUGUUUUAUUUAGUUUGAUCACAUGGGUAUUUUUGUUUAAUUUCAUAGUGCCGGUGUUUAAGGUUUAUUGUCUGAGCAAGCUAAUAUUUGAAUUCCAAAUCUGGGCCAGUGGGGUAAUCAAUCAAAAAGGCCCCACAGAAUCUUUAGAUUGUGAGUGAAUUUUGUCGGUGAAAUUAUGCAAAAUGAAGGGACAAGACGUGUAAUCCAAUGUUAUUAUACGUGGCAGGGAUUUGAGUAAAUCCAUUUGUACAACUGGUCUAAUACUAAUAAUACAAUUUCUGGAAAGCAACAAUGUAAUGGAAAACAAGGUAAUCCAGAAUCUUAGUCUUAAAGAUCUUAUAGUUUGAAUGGUUGAGUUAGGUAUAGUGGCACUGUUAUUCAUGUGCCAAAACAGGACUCGUUGUUGGUUUCUAGCUUGACAUAUGGUUGAAUAUUAUAUGGUUAGCAGGCUAAUUAAUUUUAUGGGCAUAGACUCUUCACAUGGGGACCCAUAAACAACGGUGAGUGUCAGAAGUCAAAAGCAAAAUCGACCUCUCGAACCAGUUUUAUCUCCUUUUCUUUUUGUUUUUCAGUUGCAAAUAGUAUAAACUUUUCGCCGAAUAUGUGCAGCAAUGCCUCACAAAUUUAUUUAGGGAAAACCGCCUGCCCCUCCUCUAAUAUCAGUCCAAAACCUUCUUUUCUUUGGUAUUA
This is a long non-coding RNA of Glycine soja, 1305 nucleotides long. RefSeq lists it as uncharacterized. Lineage: Eukaryota; Viridiplantae; Streptophyta; Magnoliopsida; Fabales; Fabaceae. The transcript has 5 exons. The record is from RefSeq and is a predicted model, not a curated record.